Molecule: ribosomal RNA, 646 nt
Filed under: Lacticaseibacillus rhamnosus
Lineage: Bacteria; Bacillati; Bacillota; Bacilli; Lactobacillales; Lactobacillaceae
Description: bacterial SSU rRNA
Rfam family: Bacterial small subunit ribosomal RNA
Source: RNAcentral
UGGAGCAACGCCGCGUGAGUGAAGAAGGCUUUCGGGUCGUAAAACUCUGUUGUUGGAGAAGAAUGGUCGGCAGAGUAACUGUUGUCGGCGUGACGGUAUCCAACCAGAAAGCCACGGCUAACUACGUGCCAGCAGCCGCGGUAAUACGUAGGUGGCAAGCGUUAUCCGGAUUUAUUGGGCGUAAAGCGAGCGCAGGCGGUUUUUUAAGUCUGAUGUGAAAGCCCUCGGCUUAACCGAGGAAGUGCAUCGGAAACUGGGAAACUUGAGUGCAGAAGUGGACAGUGGAACUCCAUGUGUAGCGGUGAAAUGCGUAGAUAUAUGGAAGAACACCAGUGGCGAAGGCGGCUGUCUGGUCUGUAACUGACGCUGAGGCUCGAAAGCAUGGGUAGCGAACAGGAUUAGAUACCCUGGUAGUCCAUGCCGUAAACGAUGAAUGCUAGGUGUUGGAGGGUUUCCGCCCUUCAGUGCUGCAGCUAACGCAUUAAGCAUUCCGCCUGGGGAGUACGACCGCAAGGUUGAAACUCAAAGGAAUUGACGGGGGCCCGCACAAGCGGUGGAGCAUGUGGUUUAAUUCGAAGCAACGCGAAGAACCUUACCAGGUCUUGACAUCUUUUGAUCACCUGAGAGAUCAGGUUUCCCCUUCGGG